Molecule: ribosomal RNA, 497 nt
Filed under: uncultured bacterium
Lineage: Bacteria
Description: partial 16S ribosomal RNA
Rfam family: Bacterial small subunit ribosomal RNA
Source: RNAcentral
GAUGAACGCUGGCGGCGUGCCUAAUACAUGCAAGUCGAGCGAACAGACGAGGAGCUUGCUCCUCUGACGUUAGCGGCGGACGGGUGAGUAACACGUGGAUAACCUACCUAUAAGACUGGGAUAACUUCGGGAAACCGGAGCUAAUACCGGAUAAUAUAUUGAACCGCAUGGUUCAAUAGUGAAAGACGGUUUUGCUGUCACUUAUAGAUGGAUCCGCGCCGCAUUAGCUAGUUGGUAAGGUAACGGCUUACCAAGGCAACGAUGCGUAGCCGACCUGAGAGGGUGAUCGGCCACACUGGAACUGAGACACGGUCCAGACUCCUACGGGAGGCGGCAGUAGGGAAUCUUCCGCAAUGGGCGAAAUCCUGACGGAGCAACGCCGCGUGAGUGAUGAAGGUCUUCGGAUCUUAAAACUCUGUUAUUAGGGAAGAACAAAUGUGUAAGUAACUAUGCACGUCUUGACGGUACCUAAUCAGAAAGCCACGGCUAACUACGUG